RNAcentral lists this long non-coding RNA (223 nucleotides) under Lathyrus oleraceus (garden pea). Its description in RNAcentral is "Pisum sativum (pea) long non-coding RNA (PSAT_LNC014055)". The record is from RNAcentral. Lineage: Eukaryota; Viridiplantae; Streptophyta; Magnoliopsida; Fabales; Fabaceae.
UAAUCCCUUAUUUUAGGAAAAAUUUGUCAAAAAUUUGCCUGGACACGUGUCCCUUACUUUUCAUUUUUUUCCUUUUUUUUCUGAUCAAAGCCACAUGGCGCAUGAUCAAUGGCUCUAUGUAGUGAAUAAGACAACACUCAAGACAAAUGAAGGAUCCCAUCUAUGCAUGUGCAAUGCACACUCACGUUUCUAACCAUUAUAUCUAGCGUAAAUCUCAUCAAAC